UCCGGCGAAGCAUUUCGGGUGAUGCACUUGCCUUGUAAGCAUGGGAACGGGGUUCGAUUCCUCGCGCCGGAGCCA
This 75-nucleotide transfer RNA is filed under the name Lewinellaceae bacterium. Its description in RNAcentral is "tRNA-Thr". It matches the Rfam family "tRNA". From Rfam's summary of the family: Transfer RNA (tRNA) molecules are approximately 80 nucleotides in length. Lineage: Bacteria; Pseudomonadati; Bacteroidota; Saprospiria; Saprospirales; Lewinellaceae. The record is from RNAcentral.